GCAAUUGAUUUUUGAUAUAAUUAUCUGACCAGCUCUCAUAAACAUGAUCGUCACUCAAGCCGAUGCUUGGGCUUUUGAAUCUAAGCUGCAUGACUCGACAAAAGAAACUACAAAAUGGAAUAAUGUUCCUCUGAGAAUUCUAUAAUUGUGUGAGAGUGGGUUGAUAUUGAUACAAACAGCCAUUGGUGAAAAAUGGCAAACUUGUCUGGUGUCUCAUUUUUGUUCCAUUUAGCUGCAAAACACACGAAGUAAUGAUUUACAACCUACCUUUAAUCUUUAUUUUUGUUGUAAACCAACGCAGGUAUACUUUGGCAUGCUUGAUGCGUUAUUGGCUGCAGAGGAGCUUCCAGAGGAAUACAGGGACCGUUAUCAGGACAUACUAUGCAAUGAUUGUGAUCA
RNAcentral lists this unclassified non-coding RNA (399 nucleotides) under Hevea brasiliensis (rubber tree). Lineage: Eukaryota; Viridiplantae; Streptophyta; Magnoliopsida; Malpighiales; Euphorbiaceae. The record is from RNAcentral.